RNAcentral lists this long non-coding RNA (3343 nucleotides) under Heterocephalus glaber (naked mole-rat). RNAcentral's name for it is "lncRNA (ENSHGLG00000039494.1)". The record is from RNAcentral. Lineage: Eukaryota; Metazoa; Chordata; Mammalia; Rodentia; Bathyergidae.
CCGCCUUCUCCCGGCCAGGCCAGCUCGGGCCUUUCCUCCGCCGCCGGGCCGCGUGCCGGCUCGAGGGGACGGACCUUGUUCUGUCUUCGCCCGAGGACUUUACACCCUCAGCGCCGGGGACCUGCUUCGAAACGUGCGUCAACCUGGGAGGACGGAGCGGGCUCGCGCUCAGCAAGCUCUAGCGAGGAAAGACGCCGCGAGAACCCCAGGACCCCUGCCAUACUGUUCCAUGCUGAAGGGCAGACACACCUGCUUCCCCCUCGUCACCUGUUCCCAACCUGUCACUGGCGGUUUUCCUUCCGAAUACCUGAGCCAUUCGCUUUCUAGGGAAAACGUGACUGGAGCCAGGUUACUGGAGUCAGCCUUGGAGACUUGAACUGCUGGAGGGAAAUCUGUGACGGAGCUCAGGGAGACACAAAGCCACUCGGUCAUCAGACCCGCCCCCCUUUGGAUUCUGGAGCCCAUGUUCCCACAAGACUCCAGCCAUGCCGCUCAAAACUAUCCUGAAAUACUUUCAAACUUAGUGCUUUCUCAGGCGCCUUAGGGAGGUUUAAGUCCAGGGUGCAAAGGUCAACUUCAAAUUCUGCUGAAUUCUUUUAUCUCAACUCUUAGAACUCUCAGCCUCGGGUUAAGGUGCUGCCAAUUUUAAAGUAGACACUUCAGGUUGAAUAAGGUGAGAGUGUGUCGGUGAACACGAGAAUGAAAACCGGUAUGCACAGCUAGGGCAUAGUUAUUCACUGCUCCUCACUACCGCUAGCAAAACAGCACAUGUAGUGUCUUACAGAAGUUGGGCACAUCAGUGAUUAAAACGGUGCUUCCUAGUCAUAAACUGAAAGCACCAGGAACUCAGCUCUUCCUUGGUUCACUCCUUAGACAUUCAUUCCGCCUCCUGGUGGCGUCUGUCAGAAACGCUCUUCCUUUCCUGUUCCUACUGAAUGGGGUAGGCUCUAACACAGCGAUUAUAAGUACAUUGGAAAAAUAGCCAGCCAUGGUAGUGCACACCGGUAACCCCAGCAUCCUGGGAGGCUGGGGUGGGAGGAUUGCAAGUUCAAGCCCAGCCUUGUUAACUUAGCGAGACCUUGUCUCAAAAUGAAAAAUGAAAAAAGGGCUGGGGUCUAGCUCAGUGCAAAGGCCCCGGGCUCAGUUCCCAGUACCACACAAAUAAAUGACACACUGGAAACAGUGACAGCCUCAGGGUUACUGACGGAAAUUACACAAAUCCCUCUCCCGGCAACAUCAGAGUACUUCUUUAUAUAAUACCAAUUAAAACCAAUCCUCUCAUAAGGCAUUUGGGAUUUGUUUCUAUUGUCUACACUCCUUCCAAGCUUAAUUUCCAUUUCUCACUUUGCCUUUUCUCCUUCACCCCACUAAUCUCAACUCCUGUGCUACUGUGCAUACACCACUGCCACACACCUCUUCAGGGGUUUAAAAUACUCCAGACUUCAGGGGGAGUCCCAUGAGCAGCUCUAUUUUUAAGCUAUCUAUGAGGUCCUGAAAUGCCUGUACCCCUUGGCUAUAUUUACUCUUUCCACAUCUUCCUCCACCACAUAGCAAUGAGAUGACCCUGUGAAUCAAAAUGACACCCACACUCGGUCUGGGAAGGGAGGCACUGAAGACGAUGAGAGGCUCUGUGGGACAAUACCGUGCUGCUCACGGAGUAGCGAGGAGCCCAGGUAAGGAGUGAGACACAGAGCCACUGCCGAGGCUGGACAGGCAGUAUCUGGAUUACUUACUACUCCUUAGCAUAGUUGCCUAAACUGGUGCCCACAUAAGCUCAGUUUCUUUUCCUACUGUCUUAGUGAGAAGAAUGGGAAAGGCCUGAUAUUUCUGUCUUUGAGAAGCAGAUUUUUGCAGGCUAUGCAUCCUAGGAAGCCCUAAUUUACCCUCUGCUUCCUUCAAAGCUUGUAGCACAGAAUGCCCAUCUCUGACCACUCCUGGGUGGGAUGGUGAGUGUCCCAGACUAUGUAAGCUUUCCUCUUCAUUUCCUGGAGGAGCCGGCCAGACCAGAAGCUCUGUUCUGUGUCUUGUCUCCCUUAUGUUCCAGCAGAAGCCCCAAUAAAGCCUCAUGUGGAUGGUGCACAUUUGCAUCUUUGUGAUUUCUAUCUCAAAUUGAGGAAAGGACGCUGGUCAAGAUAAUAUCUAUAGCUCCUGACUUAGUUACUUUUCUUGUUGCUGGGACAAAAUACCCGACACCCAGUGUUAAAGGAGGAAAGGUUUGCAGUGGACCCUCAAAUUACAACUGGUCUGACACACAAACAACUUGGGUUAUGACCAGAAUUUUAGUUUUAACUUAUGACCAAAGUCUUGAGCUACAACCUAAAUGCCAGCUGCUUAUGCUUCCAGAUGAUCUCAGAUACAGUUUAACCCUGAAAGAGUUCUAGAAGGAACAUUACAACAUCCUUUCCUGUGUGGGGUUGAGAAAUCCCGGGUCAAUGUCUCUCUAAGGACCCUGAGAUCUGCCUGUAUACAGGAGAGAGACUUUGAAGGUUGUGUAGAGGAGCCUGGGCCUUCAGUUGACCAACUUGUAUUACAACCAGUCCUCAGGAAUGAACUGAGUUAAUGAGUCAAGGGUCCACUUUAUCUGGCUUACUGUUUGUAGAGGUUUCAGUCCAUAGUUGGCUGGCUCUAAGGCAGAGUGGCAUUGCAGACAAGCAUCACAGAAGAGAAACAGUUUAUGGCAGAACAAGGUAGCAAAAACAACAAGGGAAACUUUCUGUGCCUUUUAUCUUAUCCAGACUACUGGGAUUAGAGUGGUGCCAAACCAAUCAGUGUACUGGUUUAGUGACCACACACCAUCCCAGCAUCACACACUCUAGAUUCAGCCACCACUGAAAAAGCCACCUGAGGCUUUGGGGGACAUCUAGACUCAAACCAUAACAGCUGCUUUCCUUGCUCUUUUCUGAAUUAGUGGUAAGUAAAGCAAGACCUUUCUGUACCCACUGACCACAUAGCUACUUGGAUAAGGUUGAUGAAUGUCUCAUAUUGAAGUUUAAAUUUCUCCUCAUUUUGUUAACAAUCCUUGGUUCAUUCUAAAUUUGUAUUUCAAAAUACUUGUCAGAAAUUCUGUUUUCUGUAAGUUGAUUUGUGUCUGCCACGUCAUUCCUUAACUAAAGAAAUGGAGAAAUUUGACUACAGAUGGUUUGCCUUUGUGUUUUUCUGGGUGGGAAGUAUUGUUGCUAAACUGUUUUUCUUUUUCCAUUCUAGAGGCCUUGAGCAAUAGAGUCAAGAUAAGAUGUAUAAACUUCUGACUAGCUAUUAUUGUAGACAGCUAAUUUAAUUAAAAUAUUAUAGGCAGUCAGACAAAGCUGGGCCCUCAAAGAAUUAGUGCAGAAGACAAUUGUGG